RNAcentral lists this ribosomal RNA (378 nucleotides) under uncultured delta proteobacterium. RNAcentral's name for it is "bacterial SSU rRNA". It matches the Rfam family "Bacterial small subunit ribosomal RNA", at positions 521 to 896 of the family's 1533-position model. Lineage: Bacteria; Deltaproteobacteria. The record is from RNAcentral.
UAAUACGGAGGGUGCAAACGUUGUUCGGAAUUACUGGGCGUAAAGGGCGCGUAGGCGGCGCUAUAAGUCAGAUGUGAAAGCCCACGGCUUAACCGUGGAAGUGCAUCUGAAACUGUAGUGCUUGAGUAUCGGAGAGGAAAGUGGAAUUCCCGGUGUAGAGGUGAAAUUCGUAGAUAUCGGGAGGAAUACCGGUGGCGAAGGCGACUUUCUGGACGAAUACUGACGCUGAGGCGCGAAAGCGUGGGGAGCAAACAGGAUUAGAUACCCUGGUAGUCCACAGCUGUAAACGAUGAGAACUAGGUAUAGGGGGUGUCGACCCCUUCUGUGCCGUAGCUAACGCAUUAAGUUCUCCGCCUGGGGAGUACGGUCGCAAGAUUA